RNAcentral lists this long non-coding RNA (293 nucleotides) under Elaeis guineensis (African oil palm). RNAcentral's name for it is "long non-coding RNA (EGUI_LNC046130)". The record is from RNAcentral. Lineage: Eukaryota; Viridiplantae; Streptophyta; Magnoliopsida; Arecales; Arecaceae.
CCAUUGAAACACUGCAUCACAAAUCAAAUUCAAGCGAUGCAUAUUAGAAAUAUCAUUGUAAUAUUAUAAAUAUAUAUCAAUCAAAAUUAACUCAAAAAAUCUAGAAAGAAAAUUGUGAAUACAAAGUUAUUGCUAGAGAAGCACAAUUCUAUAUAUUCAUAAACAAUAAUGUCUAAAAUAAAGUAUGAAGUGAAUUAUAGCAUGACAAUGUACAAUAAGUUAUACACAUCUUAACAUUGUUCCUUUAAAAACUUCAUGCUUUCAUGCCAUCAAAAUCAUGAUUGACUAACCAC